UGACAGCCCCGUACACAAAAAUGCACAUAUUGUGAGCUCGAUGAGUAGGGCGGGACACGUGGUAUCCUGUCUGAAUAUGGGGGGACCAUCCUCCAAGGCUAAAUACUCCUGACUGACCGAUAGUGAACCAGUACCGUGAGGGAAAGGCGAAAAGAACCCCGGCGAGGGGAGUGAAAAAGAACCUGAAACCGUGUACGUACAAGCAGUGGGAGCCUCUUUUAUGGGGUGACUGCGUACCUUUUGUAUAAUGGGUCAGCGACUUAUAUUCUGUAGCAAGGUUAACCGAAUAGGGGAGCCGAAGGGAAACCGAGUCUUAACUGGGCGUUAAGUUGCAGGGUAUAGACCCGAAACCCGGUGAUCUAGCCAUGGGCAGGUUGAAGGUUGGGUAACACUAACUGGAGGACCGAACCGACUAAUGUUGAAAAAUUAGCGGAUGACUUGUGGCUGGGGGUGAAAGGCCAAUCAAACCGGGAGAUAGCUGGUUCUCCCCGAAAGCUAUUUAGGUAGCGCCUCGUGAAUUCAUCUCCGGGGGUAGAGCACUGUUUCGGCAAGGGGGUCAUCCCGACUUACCAACCCGAUGCAAACUGCGAAUACCGGAGAAUGUUAUCACGGGAGACACACGGCGGGUGCUAACGUCCGUCGUGAAGAGGGAAACAACCCAGACCGCCAGCUAAGGUCCCAAAGUCAUGGUUAAGUGGGAAACGAUGUGGGAAGGCCCAGACAGCCAGGAUGUUGGCUUAGAAGCAGCCAUCAUUUAAAGAAAGCGUAAUAGCUCACUGGUCGAGUCGGCCUGCGCGGAAGAUGUAACGGGGCUAAACCAUG
This 822-nucleotide ribosomal RNA is filed under the name Escherichia coli. Its description in RNAcentral is "partial 23S ribosomal RNA". It matches the Rfam family "Bacterial large subunit ribosomal RNA", at positions 365 to 1191 of the family's 2925-position model. Lineage: Bacteria; Pseudomonadati; Pseudomonadota; Gammaproteobacteria; Enterobacterales; Enterobacteriaceae. The record is from RNAcentral.